Molecule: non-coding RNA, 657 nt
Organism: Paralichthys olivaceus (Japanese flounder)
Lineage: Eukaryota; Metazoa; Chordata; Actinopteri; Pleuronectiformes; Paralichthyidae
Source: RefSeq, a predicted model, not a curated record
UCGACGGACACGAGUAGCGAGAUGCACUCUGGGAACUCCGUGACCCGCGGCAACCGGCGGUCCUACGCCGACGAGGCCUCCACCGAGGAGCAGCUGAGGAGCUUCCAGGAGUCGUGGGCCGAGAGCCAGGGAGUUUUCCAGAACCUGGGAUUCGGUGUCACGGAGCAGAGGACGUCUCGGGUUGUGACGCACCGCCAGGACACCGUGAUGACGGUUUCACCGGGACAUGGCUUUAAUUUGGCCCAGAUGCCAUCACCUCGCUCGGCCAUGACCUGACAGACAGUCGCCCCCCCCCCACCAAAGUUAAAGCAAGAAGCAGCAUCAUGCUCGGCCGCGGACUCGAUUGGCUGCUCUCCUCCAUCGCCCCGUCAUGUGGCCGCUGAUUGGCCGGCUCCUCUCCUCCCACCUCCUGGAGCGCACGGCGCAGAGCAGCGGAGGCUCAGCCGCGCGGUGCGGAGCGGAGAGGAAGGAGAAGAGAGGACGGAGCGUGGUGUCCGGGCAGCAAGGUGCGUCGUCGCGGCCAGGGAGACAGACGCCGAAAUGAAGCCAAGAUAUCCUGGAUACAAACGCUGCCAUCUUCCCCAUUUGGAGCCGGAGUCUCUGCAGUAGCGAUCGGGGAUGGAGCCGCGGUAGUGAGGUCCUGCUGAUGCACCAAUC